CGGAAUGAGCCUGGUGGGGACUCAGAUAAAGCCUCAACGGACCGGUUCAUCGUGGCGAGUAACCGAACCGGACCUUCACAAUUUGCGGCUUUUAAAUGCCGUGAAGUGCCUGGAUCUGUAUCUGUUCCUUCUGGUCUUUGUGGGUCUCUCUCUAUCUUGACGGAAAAAAAGAGGUUAUUUGUUGGAGCAAAACCCUAAACGCCAUUGGAGCUCGCUCCGAGCUCCGUUUCUCCAAGAAGUAUCAGAGCCAGUUUUCUUCGGGGUCGAGGCGGCUGCUGAGAGCAUCGCGAGGGACGGCUUCUCGAGAAAGCUAAGUUCUUUCCUCUUCUUCUUUUCUGGGAGCUAGGGUUUUUCCUUGAAAUAAACGUUAGGGUUGUAUUCCUGUAGGGGGCAUUUCUUUCGAUCUCAAGAAGUUGGUGCCCUGGGAAGAUCUCUUAGGGUUUUAUCGGUCUUGGAAGCGGGUAGUUUGGAAGAGGGAAAAAUUAGGUUCUGUUUGAAAUUUAGUAUCACCUCUGGGCCAAAUCUUUGAACGUUUCCAUGUUUCAUCAAACAAGUUAGAGAUUCUCACUUAGGCUUUUGCGGCGAAUCCGGUUGUAGGAGUGGAAAGAAAGAUCAGGUAUAGUGAUCUACAGUGAGGAACGGGAAUCAAAUUUCUUCGUGCCUAUUAAGACCUGUCUUUUUCCCUUGUCAGGUUUAUUAGUUUUUAUAAAGUUCGUAAUUUCUUGGUUCGACCUGUUGAAGAGUCUAGUGUUCAAGAUGAGCGAACUGAAAGAUCACAAUGAUCCGGUGCAAGAUAUGCCCGAACUUCCUAGCAACGAGCACAUAGGUGCGGAUGUUGAAGACGAGGACCUUCAGUCUCUGCUGCAAAACCCUGUAGAUGAGCAAAACUCUCAGUUUCAAACAGAGGUUAAUUUCAUUAACGACUCUAGGUUCUCAGCAAAUCCUCUGGAACCUGACUCAGCUGAGCAGAACAUCAGAGAGACUGCCAUACCAUCAGAAUUGCAAAAUAGUGCUGAAGUUCCUAUUUCUAGGAAUCAGACAGAUGAUGAUACUGAAAAACCUGGGGAUGAAGUUCCUGUUUCUAUGAAUCAGACAGAGAAUGAUUCUGAAAAACCUAGGGAUGAAGUUCCUGUUUCUAUGAAUCAGACAGAGAAUGAUUCUGAAAAACUUGGGGAUGAAGUUCCUGUUUCUAUGAAUCAUACGGAGAAUGAUUCUGAAAAACCUCGCGAUGAAAUUACCGUUUUUAUGAAUCAGACAGAGAGUGAUUCUGAAAAAACUGGUGGUGAAGUUCCUGCUUUUAGGAACCAGACAGAGAGUGGUUCUGAAAAAACUGGCGACGAACUUCAUGCUUUUAUGAAUCAGACACAGAGUGAUUCUGAAAAAACUGGUGAUGGAGAUCCUGUUUCUCUGAAUCAGAGAGAGAACAAUUCUGAAAAGACCAGUGAUGAAGUUCCAUUCUUUAUGAAUCGGAUGGAGGAUGAUUCUGAACGAAAUGAUGCUCUUGAUGUCAAGAAUGAAAUGGAGAGUGAGAUGGUGAACACAUCAUUAGAGGAUGGCAGUAACUCAUUGGAAUCAGAUGUGAAGGCAGCUCAUUCAGAAGAUAAUUACAGCACGGAGACCCCCUUGAAACAGGAAAGGGCUGAGGGAGAACAACCAGCUCCCAUCGAGAGUUCUAAUCAGUCUUUUACAUUUGACUAUUUCUUGGAUGGUGAUGAUUCUGGGAGCGAGGAAGAACAAGCUGCUUUCAUGAAGGAGCUGGAGAAUUUCUUUAGGGAGAGGAGCAUGGAGUUCAAGCCACCUAAGUUUUAUGGGGAAGGGCUGAAUUGUCUCAAGUUGUGGAGAGCAGUAACAAAAUUAGGUGGUUAUGACAGGGUGACAUCAUGCAAAUUAUGGCGUCAAGUGGGAGAGUCCUUCAAACCUCCAAAGACCUGUACAACAGUCUCUUGGUCAUUUCGAGGUUUCUAUGAGAAGGCUCUACUUGAGUAUGAAAAACAUAAAAUUCGUACUGGCGAGCUCCAAAUACCUAUAUCUGAUCUUCCUGAGGCUAUGGUUAUUGAUAACCAGGGGGGUGGAAAUCAGGCAUCGGGCUCAGGUAGGGCCAGAAGGGAUGCUGCAGCUCGUGCUAUGCAGGGCUGGCACUCUCAGCGACUGCUUGGUCAUGGUGAGGUGGGGGACCCAAUAAUUAAGGAUAAGAGUUCAAUUUCUCUUCUGAAGCGGGAUAAACAUCUUAAAAGCAACGGGGCACACAAGAGGAAAAAACCAUCAAACCUGGAGCCUGAAGCUAAAGUUGGACGUACAAAAGAUAUUCAGACACAAGGGGAUACAACAGUCGUUGAUGUUGGGGCUCCUGCUGAUUGGGUGAAAAUAAAUGUGCGGCAAACGAAAGAUUGCUUUGAAGUCUAUGCUUUAGUUCCUGGGCUUCUGCGUGAAGAGGUACAAGUUCAAUCAGAUCCUGCUGGCCGUUUAAUCAUAUCCGGAGAACCAGAGCAGCCUGAUAAUCCUUGGGGUGUCACGCCCUUUAAAAAGGUCAUUACUUUGCCUUCUCGAAUUGAUCCACAUCAGACUUCAGCAGUGGUCACCCUUCAUGGCCAGCUGUUUGUACGUGCACCAUUUGCUCAGUCAGAUCGAUAGCACUCUUGGUCUUGCUUUGAAAGUCCACUGUCUAAUAUAAUGAAGAAAUAGAAAGAAACAUAUGAGGAUGUUCUGCAGGCCUUUGAACUUGUCGUGUUGCUGAGAUGAUUUUUAUAGUUUUUGAGUUCAUGCACAAAUUUGAACGUACUAAUUUGUUUGAUCCAACAGUGUGGUGGAUUCUCGCUCAUGAACCUUAUCUUUGAGCUGAAACUUGCUAGUGCAACUAUGUUAGGGUGAAAAAAUAUUAGGGUGAAAAAAUAUGUAUGUACCUGCCUUUGACCUGAGAGAGCCUUCAUGUAGUCAUCUACUGAAAAAUGUAGCCAGAUUCUAGUUGGUUGUCAUUUGGUUAUUGCAUGUUGCUGCUACAUUGGGUGAGCAUUCAAAUGAAACAGUUCCUGAUCAUAACCUGAUUUUCUGUU
Molecule: RNA transcript, 3050 nt
Organism: Phoenix dactylifera (date palm)
Lineage: Eukaryota; Viridiplantae; Streptophyta; Magnoliopsida; Arecales; Arecaceae
Source: RefSeq, a predicted model, not a curated record